RNAcentral lists this long non-coding RNA (825 nucleotides) under Rattus norvegicus (Norway rat). Its description in RNAcentral is "long non-coding RNA NONRATT018914". Lineage: Eukaryota; Metazoa; Chordata; Mammalia; Rodentia; Muridae. The record is from RNAcentral.
CCCCAGGAUUGGCGCUUUCUAACACGCCCCUGCCUCUCCUUACUAAGGACUCUUUCCUGUGGACUCUACAACACAGAAAUAGUCAGGGCUGCACUAUGGGUUCAGGGUUUAGAACCACAACUGGGCCCUAUUUAUAGCACACCACACCAGAGAGGAGAUGUUAGCGCACUGGUCCGCGUUGUGGGGGUGGCUCACCCUGGAGGCAGCUGCACUUGAUGUGCAGACCUCCUUGGGGCACAAGUGAGCCCUCAGGUGUGGAGUACAGGGACAGGGUCAGCUGGAGAAAAAGGCUCCUGCAUUGGGCAAGCCUUCGGUAAUUAAGCUGCUGGUGUGAUUCUGACUGUGAGUCAAGGAGCCAUGCCUGAGGGAAAAGAGCCAAGACGCAUGUUGGCACAAGUGGGUGGGGUCAGGACUGGGUACCCACAGAUUCCCUUACAAAGGGUCCUGUUCUGUUUGGCCUGGGACCAGUUUUAAAAUAUGUGUUGGCUGUGUAAGGUGUCAUGUGCCUUUAAUCCCAGAACCAAGCCAGCCGAGACAGGUAGAUCUCUCUGAAUUUGAAGCUAGCCUGGUCUACAUAGGGAGGAGCUUCAAGACACCCAGAGCCACACAACCAGACUCUGUCUCAAAAGACAAACAAGCGGGCUGGAGAGAUGGCUCAGCGGUUAAGAGCACUGACUGCUCUUCCAGAGGUCCUGAGUUCAAUUCCCAACAACCACAUGGUGGCUCACAACUCAUCUGUCAUGAGAUCUGAUGCCCUCUUCUGGUGUGUCUGAAAACAGUUACAGCAUACUCACUUAAAAUAAGUCUUUAAAAAAAAAAAAAAAA